Long non-coding RNA from Apus apus (common swift), 1987 nucleotides. RefSeq lists it as uncharacterized. NCBI's taxonomy places the organism in Eukaryota, Metazoa, Chordata, Aves, Apodiformes, Apodidae. The transcript is spliced from 2 exons. The record is from RefSeq and is a predicted model, not a curated record.
GGUGGGGGGGGCGGUGCGGGUCUGUCCCGGCCCGGCCCGUCCCGCCGCUCCCCCGCCACGGGUCGCCCCUCGGGUGCAGGCGGCAGCGGCAGCGGGAGCCCCGCCUGGCCAGCAGGGCCGCCCGGCGGCUCCCGGCGCGGGAGCGGCAGCCGGCAGGGGGCCGUGGCGUGAGCAGGGGCCGGGCGGGUGCGGGACGCCGCCGGCAGCCGGCACGGAUCCCCGCGUAGCUUGUCCCGGCCGGUGCCGUCAGCGUCGUGAAGCAGGCUGGGGGCUCUUCAGGUUUAAUGACGUUCAGAAACUCCAGCCCCUGGAUCUUAGGUUUUCUGCCUGACGGUUUCAGCCUGACGGUGAUGAGCCUCAUACACCCGCUCAGCAGACCCAGCACGUUGCCUUGGCACAGCCCGGGGAACCCCGGUAGAAGUCGGAGCAGGAAGGCCAAGCACUGUCGGCUCCAGAGCCUGAAAUCCCACGGGAUUCCCGCUGCUAGCUUGGUGGUGCACAUCUGAUGGCACAGGCAGAGAGGGAGGACCCACGCGCAGCCCUCAAGAGGCAUCACAGGAACGUGCUUUGGAUCCCUGCAGCAUCCCGGGGAUACUGCUGUGCUCUCAGGGGUCAGGCUCUGUGUUUUGGGGCUCUCUGGAGAGAUUCCAUUGUUUCUUGUGCAAGGUGCAGCAGAGUGGUCUGUGUGGAUAGUUCGGGGGUCAGGAUAGAGUCAGGGAAAUGCUCUGGCAUUAAUCACUGCUGGAUCUCAGGCAUAGGGCAGCAUCAAACCACUGUGUGAUCUGGCCUGGAAAAUCCUGUGUUUCUGCAUAAAUGAAGGGAGUACAAGUUACCUCUCCCAUUACUUUUCCUAAGUUGCAGCAACUGCUGUGGUGACAAGGGCCCAGUGCAGUUCUGACAGUUGCUGGUGAGAUAGCAGAAGGAUGAGUCAGCCAGGUUUUGACAUCAUAUAAGCAUCUCCUGCUUUCACACAAUUGCUUUUACUUCUACUUUUUUUUCUUCUCCUUUUAGUAACUAUAAUUCUCAAUUAUCUUAAUACGUGGGAAAUUCUCUGUAUGCUGACUUUUCUCCAAACCCCUCAGUUAACCUCAGUAGCAAUCCACGUAACUCUGAUGACAAGCUCUGUCACCUCAGCCAGUUAAGAUCCUCCCAUACUAAUAUGAUGACAGCUAAAUCAUUCUGGGAGGCAAGAAGAGGGCUCUCCUUUCUCAAAAUGCCAAAAGUGGAAGAGAAUAGCUCACAAGGAACAUAAUGAGGAUAGUACAUCGCAGCCACCCCUUAGUCCAUGUUCAGCAAUAAUAUCACAUAGGGAAAAAACCUGUUUUGCAUUUUGUGUUGCUUUUUUAAAAAAUGUUUUGUAUGUGAGCUACAGUAUCAAAAAUCAAUCACUCUUUUAAAUGAUCUUAUUUGUCUUGAUGGAAGGUAGUGCUUUGUUAUUCUUUACAAAGGGAAAUGCCCUAAAAAUCUACCUUGGCUAAGGGAGUUGGUGGUGCUUGCAUUACAGCUCAUGCCACCUCCUGCAGAGAUGUUGGGGAUGAGCUGUGUUGCUGAAUGCAAGUGUCACCCCACUUCUCUGCAAAGCAGCAGCUUCAAAGUCCUUGCAGGAGCUUGGCAGGACUCAGGGCCUGCCAGUGAAGCAGGAGUCAGGCAAAUCACCUCGCUAUUGCUUUGCACAGUCAUUUAAUGGCCAAGGUUUCACAAGAGGAGCCAUGCAAUGAUAUGUGUGCUGAAAAGCAGUUAUCAAAAUACGCACUGGGCAGAGGAGGUGGUGCUUCUGAGGCAGCAAAAGGAGUGGCAAGUGGUUGAAAAACGUGGGGAAGGACACCUUAACUCUAGGUCAAAGCUUUACCACCCAAACCAGAAGAAAAACAAGGUCAUCUCUAUACAAAGAUACACCAUAUAGUCAGGUAGUUUUAUUUGUUUUCAUAGGUGGGAAUCUAACUGGCUAGUAUUUAGAUAAUAAAUAAAUAGUAUUUCUUUACUAAGA